Molecule: RNA transcript, 636 nt
Organism: Cyanistes caeruleus (blue tit)
Lineage: Eukaryota; Metazoa; Chordata; Aves; Passeriformes; Paridae
Source: RefSeq, a predicted model, not a curated record
GCUCAGAGCCCCAUCCAACCUGUCCUUGAAUAUUUCUAGGGAUGGGGCACCCACAGCUUCUCAGGGCAGCUUCUUCCAGUGUUUUACUACCCUGUAGCAGAGGCCAAGUGGAGUUAGAGCACAGGCAGGCAGAGGACCAGUUGAUUUUAUUGCUCAUUGCCUGAAGGUCCUCAUUGUGGAUCAUUUACUCUCUUUCCCAACUAUGAAAAUGGCUGAUGGAAAACUGUAUGCUGGGAUGGCUUCACUGACUAGGCUGUGGGUUUGGCAAGGUUUUCGUCUGUCUCCUGUGGAAGCUUUUGGGAUGGAAUACAGGGAUAUUGCAUGCCAAUAUGGAGAGUCAGCAUCCAGUACUGAGGCACAGGAGGAAUUUUCACAGCCUUUGGCUUCUCUUUGCUGUGUGCCAGCUGAACCACAAUUUGUUCCUUCUUGAAUACAUCCUGCAACUGAAGAAGCAGACUGUGCAACCAUCCUAGUCAUAAAAGGUCCUCAAGACAGUGAUUCCACUGUGAAUACAAACAAAUUCAUCUGUUGCAUUACAUUCUCCACCAGUUGCAAUAGAAUAAAGCUUGCUCCUGGCAGGUUGCCUCUUUUUCCCUGGCACAACUUGAAGCAGGAAUCUCAAUAAAUAGGUAGGCA